This 73-nucleotide transfer RNA is filed under the name Treponema sp. RNAcentral describes it as "tRNA-Thr". It matches the Rfam family "tRNA". Rfam says of the family: Transfer RNA (tRNA) molecules are approximately 80 nucleotides in length. Their secondary structure includes four short double-helical elements and three loops (D, anti-codon, and T loops). The record is from RNAcentral. Lineage: Bacteria; Pseudomonadati; Spirochaetota; Spirochaetia; Treponematales; Treponemataceae.
GCCGUCUUAGCUCAGCUGGUAGAGCACUUGACUUGUAAUCAUGAGGUCUCCGGUUCGAUUCCGGAAGACGGCU